RNAcentral lists this long non-coding RNA (2432 nucleotides) under Olea europaea subsp. europaea. Lineage: Eukaryota; Viridiplantae; Streptophyta; Magnoliopsida; Lamiales; Oleaceae. The record is from RNAcentral.
CAAAAUCACUAUCAAACACGCCCAUAGUCUACUGCACUAGAAGCUGAUAACAGGGUCAGGUCGAGUUUCAGCAGAAAACUGAAAUGUCAGCAUUUUGUAACUGAAAUGUCAGUAUUUUAUAGAGCAUCAAGUCCUCUUAGAAAAUGUAUUAAUUUCACCAAACCAACACUUUUCAGCCGUGUUUACACUUUCAUUUCUCGACUACACUAUAUCAAGGUCCGACAUGAUCAUCGUCUAUUCAGUUUGUACCACUCGGUGACUCAAAUUCAAAGAACUCCGGGGUUCUCGCUGCCCAGAUUGGAUUAUACAAUCAAACAAGAUGUAGCCAAGACAAAUUGGAUGAUCACUAAGUUAUGUAAGGAGGGUCGAAUUUCUGAAGCACGUAAGUUAUUUGAUGAAAUGCCUGACCCAGAUGUGAUUUCAUGGACCGCUUUAAUUUCGGGUUACAUAAAGUGUGGGGCGUUGAAAGAGGCCAGAGAACUGUUUGAUAGAGUUGACGCCAAGAAAAAUGUGGUCACGUGGACAGCUAUGAUUUCGGGGUAUGUUAAAAUGAAGAGAAUUUUUGAGGCUGAGAGGCUUUUUGAAGAAAUGCCAGAGAAGAAUGUGGUUUCUUGGAACACCAUGAUUGAUGGGUAUGUGCAAAGUGAUAGAAUAGAAAAGGCCUUGGGGUUGUUCGAAAGGAUGGACGAGAGGAAUGUGGUCUCUUGGAACACACUGAUUGCAGGGUUGGUAAAUUAUGGGAGGAUGAAGGAUGCAAAGGACCUUUUUGAUCGAAUGCCUCAAAGGGACGUAAUUUCUUGGACUAUUAUGAUUUCAGGAUUGGCUAGGGAAGGUAGAGUUGAAGAGGCUAGAAUGCUUUUUGAUACCAUGCCAGAGAGGAAUGUGGUUUCUUGGAACGCAAUGAUUACUGGGUACACCCAAAAUAUGAGGUUAGAUGAAGCAUUCGAUUUGUUUAAGAGAAUGCCAGAGAAGGAUGUGCCAUCUUGGAAUACAAUGAUUGCGGGAUUUAUUCAAAACAAGGAUUUAGAGAGGGCGAGGAAGUUAUUUAAUGAGAUGCCAAGGAAGAAUGUUGUUUCUUGGACUGCAAUGAUAAAUGGAUACGUGCAAGACGGACAAAGCGAAGAGGCAUUGAGAACAUUCUUUCAUAUGAAGAAGGAUAGCAGAGUGAAUCCUAAUGAAGCCACUUUUGUGAGCGUUUUGGGUGCUUGUAGUGACUUAGCAGGUCUUGGCGAGGGAAAGCAAGUCCACCAAGUAAUUAGCAAGGCAGUCUAUCAGGAGAGCGAAUUUGUGAUAUCUGCAUUGAUAAAUAUGUAUUCGAAAUGUGGAGAGCUGAUGAUGGCUAGAAAUAUGUUUGAGGAUGGGUUGAAAGGGAAGAGGGAUUUGGUCUCUUGGAAUACUAUGAUUGCAGCAUACUCUCACCACGGAUGUGGAAGAGAGGCAAUCACGGUGUUCAAAGAAAUGCAUAAUAUUGGUAUCAAACCAAAUGAUGCUACCUAUGUUGGAUUGCUUUCUGCUUGCAGCCAUGCUGGUCUGGUGGAGCAAGGGUUGGAGUACUUCGAUACGCUUUUGAGAGACGAGUGCAUAGAAGUGAGAGACGAUCAUUAUACAUGCCUUGUUGAUCUCUGUGGUAGAGCAGGAAGGCUCAAAGAGGCAUAUGAUCUUGUAGAACAGCUCCCAAACAAAGUAUCAGCAGGUGUUUGGGGGGCUCUUCUUGCGGGAUGCAACAUUCAUGGGGAUGAGGAUGUAGGAAAACUUGCAGCAAUCAAACUUUUGGAUAUGGAGCCAGAAAAUGCAGGCACUUAUAUGCUUUUGUCUAAUAUAUAUGCUUCCAGCGGGAAAUGGCAAGAGGCAGCAUUCCAGAGAUUGAAGAUGAAGGAGAAAAGGUUGAAAAAACAGCCAGGUUGCAGUUGGAUUGAAGUUGGGAACAGAUUUCAUGUUUUUCUUGUUGGUGAUAAAUCUCAUACAGAGAGCAAGAUCAUGCGUCUCUUACUUUUAAAUCUUCAUAAGAAAAUGAAGAAGAUGGGUUCUAUACCAUUGCACGAUCUGACAAUGGAAGAUGGUAUUUAGCACUUUAAGUAUAUUUUUGAUGCCUCCCGCCAGUGUGAUGAUGGUGUUUAUGCCAAAAAAGAUUCUGGUGCUCAGAAAAGAUGAAUUGAGUUGCAGUGAUGAUUAAUCCUGAGUGUUUUGAGUAUGGAGAUUGAGGCUUCAUGUAUGUGUGCUGAAGACACUGGGCUCAGAUAAUCAUUUCCCUUCUCUGAUCAUGUAAGUUUUCUGCUUCUAUUGAUAAUGUGCAACUGGUAUGAGAGCAGACUGAUUACAAUGGGUUUUUACAAAACAGAAAGAGACGAUGAUUUAUUGCCAUUGGUGAUGGAUUGCCGGAAGUUUACCACUGAUGAGACCAAACUACUCAAAAUUGGAGGCGAAGAUGCAGG